AUAGACUUGAUACCUCAUUGAAAACUACGUAUGUGUAAAAUAUAAAUGACAUUUUUUUACAAUGAGUCAAAAAAAUGUAUCUUGUAAAUAAGCUUAUAAAAAACAAAGAAAAUAAUGGCAACUUUCCGAUCUCCGAUAAUGAUGCCCCCAACUACAACAACGAUGUUGAAGAGGUGAUCUUUUAAUUUGUUGCUUGCUUUAUGUAAGAAUUCAUUUUUUUUUUUUGUUAUUGUUAACUUCAUAAUUGAUUUUAUCCAAUUACAGAUUAAAAAACCAAUAAUGUCAAAUUAAGAAUUCCUUAUACGUAGUUGAAUUGAAUUGAAGAAAUUCAAGUGGAAUCAGUUGAAUCACUUCGAAUUUCAAAAUUUUCAACUGUUUGUUGACGUAUUCAAAAUCUCUAUUAUGUGAAUCUUCAAUUAAUCAUUUUAUGUUCAACUCUAGCAACUGAAGUUGCAAGUUGAAAUUCAGCUGAUGGUCGUGAGAUUAAUUGAACUUCGUAUCUCAUCUUCUUUCUUUUUAAUUUUUAUAACUUAGUUUGAUAUAAUUGUAGAUAUGCAAAGCCUUCAGAGAGCUUUGUGAGGGAUUUAGUUGCAGUUGAAUUUUUUAUCGUUGAUUCCACUCAACGAUAAAAAAUUCUGGACUUAGUUGAACGAAUUGCUGUAAUUCCUUUGCUUUAUAUUAGGACUAAAUUUCAUUUUGUAUUUAUAAGACUUUCAUAGAAUUUUAUUUCAGUGACUAUAGCGAUCAUAUUAAGUUUCCUCGAUGAGCAAUAAAUGAAAAAUUCAUAGAAAGUUACAAUCCUCACCGCGUAAUAGUGCACCUACCCGUCUUCAUCGACGUUGUUUUUUGACCGGAAGGUCGAGAGCUAACUAUCGAGACUUUGGACUAUCCGGACAAAUAUCAACAAAACCACCAUCCUGAGGGCUAAUUAGGGUCUAGUUGCCUGUAAAUGUUAUUUUCAUUUUCUAGAUCAUUUCCUUCAAUUAGAAUCGCAUAUUAAUUUGCAGAUUAUGAAAGAUAGUCCUCGAGGUUAGUUUCAUUUGAUACUGAAUAUUGACUGAUGCUUACGUGUAGAGAUGUUACAGUGAUUUAAAGAUUUUACGGGCAAUGCAGGGGGGAAAAUGAUGUUUACCGCAUGAAACAGAGCAGAGCAGGAAGGUUAUGGAAGAAAUAUUAUGGAGAAUCUGCAAACUAAACCUUGUUGCACUCUGAGGCUUGGGAUUUUGCUCCUAUAUGAAUGGAAUGGUUAGAUAGAUUUAAAAAUGUUGAAAAAGAAAUUAUGGAGCUAUAAAAGCUGAAGCAUGUUUUGCUUGUUCCUUGUGGUUUGAACUCUUUCAAAAUAUUGUCAAUGAAGCCAGAAUUAGUAAAGAUCUUUUACCCAAUAAUUUAGUUAAUAUAUAGUUUCAAAAAUAAUAUCAUGAUUAUUUAUAUAUUUAUGUGUACUUUCAUGUUAAUAA
Molecule: long non-coding RNA, 1457 nt
Filed under: Citrus maxima (pomelo)
Lineage: Eukaryota; Viridiplantae; Streptophyta; Magnoliopsida; Sapindales; Rutaceae
Description: long non-coding RNA (CMAX_LNC000527)
Source: RNAcentral